CAGCAACAACAAGCAGCUUUAUUCCAGAACACGCACAGCAGUGCCCUCAGCCAGCUGCAGAACUCCUCUGCUCCACCUCCACAGACCUCUGGGAUAUUCCUCUUUGGCAUCCAAGACAAUUGUGGCCAGCUGUUAACAUCUGGACCGGCUGCCCUGUCGGACCAGAUGCUGACUAUCAGUCAGCCGCAGGGCGAGGCCCAACAGUCAGCUCUCCUCUCUCAGCAAAUGUCGGAAAGUCCGCAGCUGCCUUCUGCGAUGACCACCAAUCAGAACAUGAAGAAGAUCGAUGACCUGCUUGUGUCUCUGCAGAAUCAGGGGAACAAUAACAUGGCCGGCUCUUUCUAACUGGCUGGGAAUGUCAAGAUGGAGAACCAGACUUGAACGAUUCCUUCAGUGCUUGUGACUCAGGAAUGGUGGGUGUUUGGAUUAAAAUUUCCCCUCUCAAAGGACUGCCUGGACCCCAGACCAAAUGUAGCCUUCACCCUUUCGGAAGCGCACCCACGUUGAGCUGCUGGGCAGCAACCUCAGAGAGAGGCCGAAGAGCUCUGCUUUGCUGUGCCCUGGCCUGGCUGGACAGUUGGCCUCUCAAGCCCUGCUAAGGGAACGCAGAGCAUGGCUGUCCAGUUGCCGUUGCUGCUGGGCAAGGGGACCGUGCUCCGACCCACCCUUCCCCUCCUUCCUUCACAGCACCUGGAGCUUUUGGGGACAGACGUCGUCGUGUCUCUGUCUGUUAACUCCGGAGUCUGAUCUGUCCAUCUCUGGAUGACUUGUGAAUUGGUUUGUGGCUGCCAGUGGAAAUGAUUUUGUUUGGACAAGGCGAAGGGAGAAGAGAGAGGCCAGUCCAAUCUGUCCCUGGUGUGGAGGGGCAGCCAGGAAGGGGGCCAAGAGCCUCCCUGGCUGUGGGUUCUGGACUCUUCUCGUGGGGGUUUGGGCAUGUAUUGGGAGGGUGGAGUUGCACUGCUCAGAAGGUGACUCUCUCAGCCUCUUGUACUCUGUAAACCUUCCCUUGUGAGGUGGAAUAGCAAGGGACAGUUUGCUGAGCUGAGUCACCUUGACUUGACAGCCUGAAUUAGAAUUCUGUUUCUGUACCUUUCCUGUUGAUUCCACUGCUGCCUUUAGAAACCUUGCUUUUGAGGAGGCCGGCCAGCCAGCCAGCCAGCCAGCCAACCUUCUGCUGCUGUGGGGUAGAAGGCCAAAGGAGUGGGGGUCAUUCUGGGCAAGCUGGUUUCUGCUCCCAAUCCCUUUCCCACUUGGUGCUGCCGUGAAGUCUGAAGCUUCAGCCCAAGCAGGAGGCCUGGGGCUCCUCAGGGGCAGGAAUUGCCAAGCCUGCCUUGGGGUCAUGAGUCCGUGCUCACUUCAGCCUGAAAGGCAGAUCCUCUUGGGCAGAGGGCAGCCUUUAUUUCCAGCACCCUCACCACAGCCUCCUCUUGGAUUCAGACUUUUUACUGUUCUCCCCCCCCCCCCAAAAAAAAAAAAAAUCCGUCGCUGUUUGUGGAUCUGUCACCCAGUAGCUUUUUGUGUUCGGCUGUCACUGGCCAGGAGUGGGGAGGUGGGUUUUUUAGUCCCCUUGAGUGUUCUUUUUUGUUACUUGUGUAUAGAAAAGAAUUUAGCCUAUAGAUGGUCUUAUAGGCUGUUCCCGGUGUGUGUUUUCUGACUUGUGUACCACCUUGAGCUGUGUAGAAUCGUGCUUGGGGUUUGUUUUUGUUUUUUGACUGUUUGUCUCUGGCAUUUGCCGUUGGUCGGUCUGUCUGUCUGUCUCCUUGGGAAGGCCUCAUGUUGUGUUUUCAGUCGUACAGGCUAUUUUGCCGUUAUGAAGGGAACUUUUCAGAAAGAGACCUGCUGCGGGUCAUUUAAUUUUGAAUACAGUUUUCAAUCGUUCAGAUUUUGGAUGGUUUAUAUCUUAUGUGUGUUUCAUUUUUUUGGAAAGCUCUAUUUUGUAUUUAGGAAAUGGUAAACUAUUUUGCUAUUUGUACUGAGUGAGUACAUUGGCAUAAAUAUAAAAUAUAUAUAUAUAUAUAUAUUCUCUCACACGCAUAUAUUCUUUUUGCCACAGAUUUUUGUGGUGAAUGUGUGAGUUUUAUUCCCUGUUCUCCCACACCGUGGCGUCUAGUGUUGGAGGAGGGCGGGAGGGAGGGCAGGGGGAGGGGGGUUGUUCUGAAGUCUGUGCAUUGUAUUUAAGUUCUUUUUUUUUCAGCAGAUGUCAUUUGUUCAUUUUUGGCCAUUCCAUCAGGCAACUGGACUCAGCGGGCUGUGGGGCUCAGCCUGUGCUCUGCGGAGGACAAGACCCCCGGGGGCGACUUCCCUCAUGACAGGGCUCUGCUCAGCUUUUAUUUACUGUUCAUGUCUAACAUUAUUGCCAGCUGCUUAAGUUAUAGUAACACUAAGGAGCCACAGUUUUGCCGUUUCAUGAAUGUGUGAGCAUACUUCUCUUGCAGUAUGUUGUUUUCCUGCUGAGAUGAGGGGGUGAAGGACAGAAGGAGCGGCCUGGGACCUUUGAUGGGCACAGAGGAGGCGUGCACCCACUGCUGUGGGGGCCAGAAGAGGCAUGUGCGUGGUGGUUUUCUGGGGCUGGAGCCUGCGGAGGGGGUGCCUGAAAACACUUGGCCUGUCGUCUGCUGCCGCUGCUGCUGCGUGUCAUUCCUGUGAGAUGGGGGAAUGUCCAGGUGCUGACGCUGUAUGAGGCAGUGCCAAGUCAUCAGGGACCAAUUCUGUCCCAGCACACAUUUCCUGACCGGGACCACCUCACCUGGCGGCUUCUCUCCUGGCGGCUCCAGCCCCCACCGCCGCCACCAGUGUUCAAGAAGGGCUCCGGCUGCUCAGUGCUCGAUGGGGGCAGCUGCCUUCUCUUUGGUUGUUUCUUUGUAAUUUUACUUGGUCCAUUUUAGGUCAAUAUUUAAAUGCGCAACAUUUUGAACAUGAUUUGGUUUCAAACGUCUGUCUUGGGAAUGGGGGUCCUGCUCAGUGGCUGGUCUGGCCUGGGGCUGCAUCUCUCUCACAGUUCAGAAGUCGGGGGUGGACGGAGGCGGUGGAGUCUUGUCCCCCUUAGCGGACAGGCCAUCUUGGAGCUUCAACAAUGUCCAUUCCUCAUCACCACCCCUUGGUAUUGCUGCACAGGGACCCUCGUCCCCUAGUGGAGGGCAGGGAAGGCUGGGUCACUUCAGCCUUCUGUGAAGAUGCUCCAGAUGCAGCAGCUGUUCCUUUCCUCUGACCCUGUCCUUCCCUCCCCCAGCACAUCCCAGCAAAGUGUCCUGCAUACAGGAGAAAUGGGAACGUAACACAUGCAGUUGCAGGUCCUUGACAGGGGUGAAAGUCCCAGGGUCUGUACCACACGCUCUUUCUAGUCCACAGGAUCUUGGGGAGCCACUGCCCAGCAGAGCCGAGCCGAGAGACACGAACCGAGGUCUGGCUCUGCAGAAGGCAACUUGGCGCGGCUACCAUGUCAAGCGCAAGGUCCUGCCUAGAGCAGAUUGGGGAAACCUACCGUAGUUCUUUUUCAUGAGAGCUUUUGCCAGUUUUUUUGUCAUUGCUUCUCAACAGUUGCCGGCCUUCUGUUGUCCUUUUAACCUGUCGUGAUUGACCUUUUCACUUCUCCCUCGAACCACCAGGGCACAUUUACUCUGGGUUAAAAGGGGUUUAUUGCCCUACCUUGCAGGAGGGAGAACAAAGGACCAGGAGAUAAUCCGCUGAGAACUUUGCUCUCUCCAACCAAAUAGCAAAACUUAAGGCUGGUGCUGAGAUCACAUCAGGUGCCCCCCCUCCCCCGCCUGCAGUUUUCUCAAGCAUUUGUGAGUAGAUUUGCAGUUUUCUUUGUAGGAAGCCAAGGCAUUUAUAAAAUUCCACUAAAAUGUCAAAUACCGCAGUUUUGUAUUCUAAAUUAUAAAUGAUGUAUUUUAUGUUGUUGUUCAACCAGUAAAAUUAGGUUAGUUUUGACAGGACAGUAAAUAUUCCAUGUAUUUAAAUGUUUUCUAAAAAGGUUUUUUUUUGGUUCCUCCCCUCCUCAAAAAAAACGGGGGUGCGGGGUGUUCUUUUCUGAAUUUUUUAUAUCUCUAGUCCAGAGAGCCAUCUGUUCAAAGAUACCCCCUCCAGUCAAGCAGCCACAGUGAUGACCCUGCCUGGUGUGUCUCCCGUGGUGGCUCAUAGUAAUUGGACCAAGGCACCUCAGUCACCACAGUGUUUUGUCUUACCCUUGCAGGCGCUCCCUCAAUUCUGCAGCACGCACACACACCCCUCCAGCCUCAAUUUGGAGAGCAUUUGUGUGCUGAUACCAAUUUCUUUUUCAGGCCCCAGAGCAAUAGCAAAGCCCUUGGAUGGCUGUGGGUCAGCCUCCUUCCCCCCAGCCCCACACGUCGCCCUGGCUUUUUUGAUGGUUGGCCCAAGUCCCUGAGCCUGCUUGAGCGGCAAUCUGGCUGCCCGCUCACGGCAGGGUUUUCCCACACAAGCUCCAUCUGCUCUGAGGAACGUGGCCACUGCAGACUGAGCGCUGCGCUUGCACUCGUCUCCGCUGGCUUUGCGGUCCUUGUUCCUCCCUCCGCCUUCCUACCUGCCCUGUUUGCUUAGAGCAGCCCCCAGGCCAGCUGCUGAUCAGCCCCCACCCCACGCCCUGCAAUGUGAAUGUAGCCUCUGGUGGGCCCUUGUGCGUUUGUGUGGACCUGGCUUGUGUCAGUCGGUUUCUCAGAGCACUGAUAACCUGUUCUCAGUUUAUUCUAAGAGGGAGGGAGGGAGGGACCUUAUUUGCAUUUGUUUUUAGCUAUCCGGUGAUAACUUGUUGAAUAUUAAGAAAAAAAUAUUUUGCUUCUAUUGGAACAUUUGUAUACUUGCAACUAUAUUUCUGUACACAGCUGCAGUCGAGAAUAAAACUUUGAAAGUU
This is a long non-coding RNA of Sphaerodactylus townsendi, 4867 nucleotides long. RefSeq lists it as uncharacterized. The record is from RefSeq and is a predicted model, not a curated record. NCBI's taxonomy places the organism in Eukaryota, Metazoa, Chordata, Lepidosauria, Squamata, Sphaerodactylidae. The transcript has 3 exons.